GUUGUUAUUCUCAGGCUUUUAUUAACCAGUUUCUUUCAUCCUAGUGUGUCUUUAUUACUUAGAAAAAUAAAAAUGAUCUGGGGCUCUAUCCAUUCUCACCUAAAAUUCUGCAGUAGGUAACGACUGUCUACAACCUGGUCCAACAUAUGCCCCCAAACUAAAACAAACAAACUCAUUUGCCAUACAAAUUGUUUACGAUUCAUUAAAAAGCAAAAUUGCAUAUCCCGGAGCUGGCAGCUGAGGCCGAGCCUCCACGGGCGGAGGGGGUAUUCACUGAGUUGCCUUUGUAUGCUGGGACGACCACGCUGGAGGUUCCCACUAUGAACCGGAGUCUGUGCAGCCAGAUGACACAUGAGUUUUGUUUCCAGGACCCAUGAAAAUGUGAAACUCUAGAAGAGCAACUUGAUUUUGAAUGCAGCAUACAGUUAACAGCUGACGUUCAUUGAUUGAGUGCUUCCUCUUGGGCAGGCACCGUUCCAAGAGCUUUAUGUAAUUUUUUCCAGGUUAAGAAAAUGAGGCCCAGCGGAAGCAAUUACUUGGAGUCAUCGAGCAAGUUCAUGUCAGGUACAGGGCUCCGAUCCAGAGGUGGUAGUUGUCAGUGACUCUGUUGGACUCUGCACUGGUGGUUUCAUAGUGUUUGAAGAACUGUGUUCUGAACUGCAUUCAGAUGCACAUGAGCUCCUGCCAAUGCUGCUGCUUCUACUGGUCUUAUAUGCCUGGCAGUGUCAUCAAUGUCCUUACUCGUGUUUAUGGACAUUACUGGAGGUUAUCUGCAGAGCUCCUUUAUUGAGUAGAUAGAAAAGCAGUGUCCCACAUAGAUUUCCUGAAAGCAAAGUUUGGGACUUGUGUGAGGCUUAUGGAGGCAUGCAAGUUUAUUGGGGUGGCUGGAUCCACAUCUAUAGGGAAAUGCAGGAAGGCCUAGGCAGGGGAGGAGUUAAUCAGUUCAGUCCUAACCCAGGCCCAGUGAAUCCACAGGGAACUGGAAGCUGAGUGCCCUUGCAGAAUUAUCCUGAAUUGGGGGAAGGAUGCCAGGACAUGGUAUUCUGCAGUGACUAAGCAGCCACUGAAUAAGAGCUGUCUCAGGGAAAAGUAAAAGACCACACUAGGCAACAAACAGAGACCAAACCCAGAGGAGUCCCAGUAGCUGGGAGAGCAUUUGGAUGCCCAGGACCCACUCACAUCCAGAGGAGUCAACAAGUUCCUUAACCCUGGGAUACAUAGUCCACGGCUCUACACGUUUCUGAAUGGCAGAGACCAGGUUCCACUCUCCAUUUUGACAAAAUCUAUCUGAUGUUUUCAUCUCUACCAUAGAGCACUUGGUCAAGGAAAAACACACACACACAAAAGAAACCCCCAACUCUGAAGCAUUCAUGGCUUGUGAAGAUGGAAGAGGAUAUUUCAUAUAAAGCUCCUGGGAAUAGUUCUUGAUCGCUGCUGUGAUCAUCUGAGGAUAUCAGACUCUUGCUUCUUCACUCUUCCAAAGUGGACUCUGCCAGAGAUUCCCCAGAAGUCUCUGGUCUCGGACUAGAGUUGCACCAUUGAUCCCUCUUGUUCUGGGGCUUCAGCCUCUUGGACUGUGCAGCUACUGGUUCCUCCAGCUCUCCAGUCUGCAGACUGCCAUUGUGGGCUAUCCAGCUUCUGGUCACAUGGAGGAUGAAGAGAGAUAUUGAGACGGAAGUUGAAGAGUUCUGUCCUUUAAGCCUGUUUUAGUCAGAUUUUUCACUGCUGUGACCCAAAGACCUAACAAGAAC
Long non-coding RNA from Ictidomys tridecemlineatus (thirteen-lined ground squirrel), 1751 nucleotides. RefSeq lists it as uncharacterized. Lineage: Eukaryota; Metazoa; Chordata; Mammalia; Rodentia; Sciuridae. The record is from RefSeq and is a predicted model, not a curated record.